CCCAGAUAAAAAAAAAAGUUUUUAAAGGGUCGUAAAAUUAACUACUCUUAUGACGUCUGGCACAUGGCGAAAGGAUUGACAAAGAAGAUGUAGAAAAUGUCCAGAGAGAAGGACUGUAGUUUGGUGAAGAAGUGGCAUAAGAGCAUCCCCCAGCACCUGUACUGGUCUGCCAGCAGCUCUGAUUCAGGACCUGAGAAGGGAACCAGAUGGACCUCCAUCAUGAACCACAUUCAAGACAAUCACACACAUUCUGACCCAGCGUCCCCUCGGUGUCAACAUGAACAUAGGUUGUAUCUUGUAAAGAUGACUUCAGUGAGAAUGCUGUGUACAAGCUUCUCUUUCCAGAGGGAGGACACACCGUCAAACCAGCUGUGUCAUCAACUUGAUGAAUACUGUUUUUGAAGAAGUUGUCCGUGAUCCUCUUCCAUAUCUGGAUGGCAUACAGCAGAUUCCUGUGCCUCCGGACCGGUCUUCUCAGCAUGACAGACCUUCCAUGGAAGAAGCUGUUGC
Molecule: long non-coding RNA, 510 nt
Organism: Carassius auratus (goldfish)
Lineage: Eukaryota; Metazoa; Chordata; Actinopteri; Cypriniformes; Cyprinidae
Exons: 4
Source: RefSeq, a predicted model, not a curated record